Molecule: ribosomal RNA, 449 nt
Filed under: uncultured bacterium
Lineage: Bacteria
Description: partial 16S ribosomal RNA
Rfam family: Bacterial small subunit ribosomal RNA
Source: RNAcentral
UCCAGACUCCUACGGGAGGCAGCAGUGGGGGAUAUUGCACAAUGGGGGGAACCCUGAUGCAGCGACGCCGCGUGGGUGAAGGAGCGUUUCGGCGCGUAAAGCCCUAUCGGCAGGGAAGAAGGAGGACGGUACCUGACUAAGAAGCCCCGGCUAACUACGUGCCAGCAGCCGCGGUAAUACGUAGGGGGCAAGCGUUAUCCGGAUUUACUGGGUGUAAAGGGGGCGCAGACGGCAGCGCAAGCCAGGAGUGAAAGCCCGGGGCCCAACCCCGGGACUGCUCUUGGAACUGCGCGGCUGGAGUGCAGGAGGGGCAGGCGGAAUUCCUGGUGUAGCGGUGAAAUGCGUAGAUAUCAGGAGGAACACCGGUGGCGAAGGCGGCCUGCUGGACUGCGACUGACGUUGAGGCCCGAAAGCGUGGGGAGCAAACAGGAUUAGAUACCCCCGUAGCA